AGAGUUUGAUCCUGGCUCAGAACGAACGCUGGCGGCAGGCCUCAAACAUGCAAGUCUAGGGGGUGUAGCAAUACAUCACCGGCGGACGGGUGCGUAACACGUGGGAAUAUACCUUUCGGUACGGAACAACUGCGGGAAACUGCAGCUAAUACCGUAUACGUCCUAGCGGAGAAAGAUUUAUCGCCGAAGGAUUAGCCCGCGUUCGAUUAGCUAGUUGGUGGGGUAAUGGCCCACCAAGGCGACGAUCGAUAGCUGUUCUGAGAGGAAGAUCAGCCACACUGGGACUGAGACACGGCCCAGACUCCUACGGGAGGCAGCAGUUGGGAAUCUUGGACAAUGGGGGAAACCCUGAUCCAGCCAUGCCGCGUGAGUGAUGAAGGCCUUCGGGUUGUAAAACUCUUUCGACGGGGACGAUAAUGACGGUACCCGUAGAAGAAGCUCCGGCUAACUUCGUGCCAGCAGCCGCGGUAAUACGAAGGGGGCUAGCGUUGUUCGGAAUUACUGGGCGUAAAGCGCGCGCAGGCGGCUAUCCAAGUCAGUGGUGAAAGCCCGGAGCUCAACUCCGGAACUGCCAUUGAAACUGUUUAGCUUGAGGACGAGAGAGGUGAGUGGAAUUCCCAGUGUAGAGGUGAAAUUCGUAGAUAUUGGGAAGAACACCAGUGGCGAAGGCGGCUCACUGGCUCGUUUCUGACGCUCAGGCGCGAUAGCGUGGGGAUCAAACAGGAUUAGAUACCCUGGUAGUCCACGCCGUAAACGAUGAAUGCUAGCCGUUGGGCAGCUUGCUGUUCAGUGGCGCAGCUAACGCAUUAAGCAU
RNAcentral lists this ribosomal RNA (814 nucleotides) under uncultured Alphaproteobacteria bacterium. Its description in RNAcentral is "bacterial SSU rRNA". It matches the Rfam family "Bacterial small subunit ribosomal RNA", at positions 8 to 867 of the family's 1533-position model. The record is from RNAcentral. Lineage: Bacteria; Pseudomonadati; Pseudomonadota; Alphaproteobacteria.